GACGAACGCUGGCGGCGUGCUUAACACAUGCAAGUCGAACGGAAGGGCCCGGCGUUUGUGUGUUGCUUGAUUGGCGAGCGGGUGAGUAACACGUGUGGAUCCUGCCCUUGACUUUGUGAUAACUUCAGGAAACUGCGGCUAUUAUAGCAGAGGAUCUUCUGCUGCGUGGUGUUGAUUGGUAAGUGUCGGUGGUUGGGGCUGUUCUCGAGGCUUAUCAGCUUGUUUGUGUGGUAGUGACUUACCAAGGCUUUGACGGGUAGCCGGCCUGAGAGGGUGAACGGCGACAAUGGGCCUGAGAUAGGGACCAGAAUCCUACGGGACGCAGCGGUGGGGAAUCUUGCACAAUGGGGGGAAGCCAGAUGCAGAAACGCCGCGUGCGGGAUGCCGGCCUUCGGGUGGUGAACAGAUUUCGACUGUGACGAAGAGUGAGUGACGGUAAUGGGUAAAGAAGCACCGGCUAACUACGUG
This 468-nucleotide ribosomal RNA is filed under the name uncultured bacterium. RNAcentral describes it as "partial 16S ribosomal RNA". It matches the Rfam family "Bacterial small subunit ribosomal RNA", at positions 28 to 507 of the family's 1533-position model. The record is from RNAcentral.